CCUACGGGAGGCAGCAGUAGGGAAUUUUGCGCAAUGGGCGAAAGCCUGACGCAGCAACGCCGCGUGAUCGAGACGCCCUUCGGGGUGUAAAGAUCUGUCAGUGGGGACGAAACUUGACGGUACCCACAGAGGAAGCACCGGCUAACUCCGUGCCAGCAGCCGCGGUAAUACGGGGGGUGCAAGCGUUGUCCGGAAUCAUUGGGCGUAAGGAGUUCGUAGGCGGCACGUAAAGUCUGGUGUUAAAGGCAGAGGCUCAACUUCUGUACGGCACUGGAUACUUGCGAGCGAGAAUGCGGUAGAGGUAAAGGGAAUUCCUGGGGUAGCGGUGAAAUGCUUAGAUAUCAGGAGGAACAUCGGUGGCGUAAGCGCUUUACUGGGCCAUAAUUGACACUGAGGCUCGAAAGUGUGGGUAUCAAACAGGAUUAGAUACCCUUGUAGUC
RNAcentral lists this ribosomal RNA (440 nucleotides) under uncultured bacterium. Its description in RNAcentral is "partial 16S ribosomal RNA". It matches the Rfam family "Bacterial small subunit ribosomal RNA", at positions 338 to 795 of the family's 1533-position model. The record is from RNAcentral.